Molecule: unclassified non-coding RNA, 25 nt
Filed under: Mus musculus (house mouse)
Lineage: Eukaryota; Metazoa; Chordata; Mammalia; Rodentia; Muridae
Description: oocyte_clustered_small_RNA3984
Source: RNAcentral
UUGUGUCCUACUGGGAUUGGUCAGU